GCAUCUAUACUGUGAAACUGCGAAUGGCUCAUUAAAUCAGUUAUCGUUUAUUUGAUAGUACCUUACUACUUGGAUAACCGUGGUAAUUCUAGAGCUAAUACAUGCUAAAAACCCCGACUUCGGGAGGGGUGUAUUUAUUAGAUAAAAAACCAAUGCCCUUCGGGGCUCUUUGGUGAUUCAUGAUAACUUAACGAAUCGCAUGGCCUUGCGCCGGCGAUGGUUCAUUCAAAUUUCUGCCCUAUUAACUUUCGAUGGUAGGAUAGAGGCCUACCAUGGUAUCAAUGGGUAACGGGGAAUUAGGGUUCUAUUCCGGAGAGGGAGCCUGAGAAACGGCUACCACAUCCAAGGAAGGCAGCAGGCGCGCAAAUUACCCAAUCCCGACACGGGGAGGUAGUGACAAUAAAUACUGAUACAGGGCUCUUUUGGGUCUUGUAAUUGGAAUGAGUACAAUUUAAAUACCUUAACGAGGAACAAUUGGAGGGCAAGUCUGGUGCCAGCAGCCGCGGUAAUUCCAGCUCCAAUAGCGUAUAUUAAAGUUGUUGCAGUUAAAAAGCUCGUAGUUGAACCUUGGGCCUGGCUGGCCGGUCCGCCUCACCGCGUGUACUGGUCCGGCCGGGCCUUUCCUUCUGGGGAUCCGCAUGGCCUUCACUGGCUGUGUCGGGGAACCAGGACUUUUACUUUGAAAAAAUUAGAGUGUUCAAAGCAGGCCUUUGCUCGAAUACAUUAGCAUGGAAUAAUAGAAUAGGACGUGCGGUCCUAUUUUGUUGGUUUCUAGGACCGCCGUAAUGAUUAAUAGGGAUAGUCGGGGGCAUCAGUAUUCAAUUGUCAGAGGUGAAAUUCUUGGAUUUAUUGAAGACUAACUACUGCGAAAGCAUUUGCCAAGGAUGUUUUCAUUAAUCAGUGAACGAAAGUUAGGGGAUCGAAGACGAUCAGAUACCGUCGUAGUCUUAACCGUAAACUAUGCCGACUAGGGAUCGGGCGAUGUUAUUCUUUUGACUCGCUCGGCACCUUACGAGAAAUCAAAGU
Molecule: ribosomal RNA, 1026 nt
Filed under: Botryosphaeria fusispora
Lineage: Eukaryota; Fungi; Ascomycota; Dothideomycetes; Botryosphaeriales; Botryosphaeriaceae
Description: SSU rRNA
Rfam family: Eukaryotic small subunit ribosomal RNA
Source: RNAcentral